Mytilus californianus (California mussel) is the source of this 873-nucleotide long non-coding RNA. RefSeq lists it as uncharacterized. Lineage: Eukaryota; Metazoa; Mollusca; Bivalvia; Mytilida; Mytilidae. The transcript has 3 exons. The record is from RefSeq and is a predicted model, not a curated record.
AGAACGUUUGAUUAUCGUCAGAACUGUAGGGCUUGUCCUCCAGAAUGUUGUUUGUGAAGGUAUUGUGUGUAAUCGCUGUUACUAUUGCCUGUAAUGAAUGCGAUCUUGAUUUUCGUGUCAUAGAUUUGACUCAUACUAUUGGACCGAUGGAGGUUAAAUUUCCAGAUCAGCCUCCAUGGAACUUUACAAUAUUGACAAGAGGGUUCAGUCGAAGUGCACAAAUUUGGCUAGAGUACAACUACUUUGGUUUGUCUGAACAUACACUUACACAUGUUGACGCACCUGGACAUAUGAAUAGAAACAGAGAGCGCAUGCAUGAAGUUCUUAUAGAAAGUUUGAUAGGCCCAGCUGUCAUAAUAAAUGUGAAAAGAAAAGUUGCAAUCAACCCUGGAUAUGGACUAACAAUACAAGAUUUGCUAGAGUGGGAAGCUCGAUUUGGUAGAAUACCUUGUGGUGCCUUUGUCAUAAUGAACAACGGGUGGUCAAGGAGAUAUCCAUUCGCUAAUAGAGUAUUUAAUACUAAUAAUAUUUCAGAUCCAACAAGCUUCCUAUUCCCAGCGUGGACUGUUGAGGCAGCGGAUUGGCUUCUUUCAAACAGACGCGUCAAAGCUAUUGGUACAGAUACACCAUCCCCUGAUCUAAGAAGUCAGCCGCAAAGAUUUCCGGUUCAUGAACGUAUAUUCCGCGAUUCUGUAUUAUCACUGGAAGCUGUGGCAAACUUAGAUAAUGUUCCAUAUCGUGGUGCAACUAUUUUUGUACCCGCUCUGAAAUUAUUUGACGGAAGUGGUGCGCCAGCUAGAAUGUUUGCAACAGUUCCGAGACGUAAAUGUACUUAAAUCCAAAAUAUAUCAUAUAAUUAAAAAUAUUCUUUAA